GAAUUUGUUCAUCAAGGAAAUCACUAAGUGGCACAGUAGUAUCAGGCGUAGAGGUAGUUUCAUCAUAAGUAUCAUGCAUAGCAGAAGUGGCAUCAUCAAUUGUAACACCCUCGAUGCGGCUAUAUCUCCCACGGGUCGAAGCACGACUUAGAGGCAUAACCGCAUUGAAAGCAAUGUCGCAAGUGAGGUAAUCUUCACAACAACCCAUGUAAAUAAAUAAAGGGGAAAGGUACAUAGUUGGCUUACACUCGCCACGUCACACAAAUACAUAAAUAAGUCAUUACAUUCAUCCAAUACACUCAAGGUUCGACUACGGAACCAAAAUGAAGAUCAACCCCCAAAUGUGACAAAGUCCCCGAUCUCCCCAACUGGGCACCACUACUGAUCAUCUGGGAAAGACACGUAGUAACGACGAGAGUCUUCAUCGAACUCCCACUUGAGCUCGGUCAUAUCAUCUGGAAUGGCAUCAUCGAUCCCUGCAUCUGGUUUUGGAAGUAAUCUGUGAGUCACGGGGACUCAGCAAUCUCACACCCUCGCGAUCAAGACUAUUUAAGCUUAUAGAAAAGGCAAAGGUAUGAUGUGGAGCUGCAGCAAGCGACUAGCAUAUAUGGUGGCUAACAUACGCAAAAGAGAGCGAGAAGAGAAGGAGAAAGCACGGUCGAACAAUUAUGAUCAAGAAGUGAUCCUAGAACAACCUACGUCAAGCAUUACUUCAACACCGUGUUCACUUCCCGGACUCCGCCGAGAAGAGACCAUCACGGUUACACACGCAGUUGGUGCAUUUUAAUUAAGUUAAGUUUCAGGUUAUCUACAACCAGACAUUAACAAAUUCUCAUCUGCCCAUAACCGCGGGCACGGCUUUCGAAAGUUCAAAUCCUUGCAGGGGAGUUCCAACUUAGCCCAUCACAAGCUCUCAUGGUCAACGAAGGAUAUUCCUUCUCCCAAGACAUUCCGAUCAGACUCGGCAUCCCGGUUACAAGACAUCAUCGACAAUGGUAAAACAAGUCCAACAACACCGCCCGAAUGUGCUGACAAAUCCCGAUAGGAGCUGCACAUAUCUCGUUCUUAGGGCACACUCGGAUUAACACUACGUACAACUAAAACCAACCCUCAAGUUUCCCCAAGGUGGCGCUGCAAGUGGCUGUGUUUGGACUAACACUCAGAGGAGCACUGGCCCGGGGGGGAUAAUAAAGAUGACCCUUGGGCUCCGGAAACCCAAGAGAAAAAGAGGCUAGGUGGCAAAUGGUAAAACCAAGGUUGGGCAUUGCUGGAGGAGUUUUAUUCAAGGCGAAUUGUCAAGGGGUUCCCAUUAUAACCCAACCGUGUAAGGACCGCAAAAUCCGAGAACAUAACACCGAUAUGACGGAAACUAGGGCGGCAAGAGUGGAACAAAACACUAGGCAUAAGGCCGAGCCUUCCACCCUUUACCAAAUAUAUAGGUGCAUUAAGAUAAACAAGAUAAUAUGGUGAUAUCCCAACAAUAAACAAGUUCCAACAAGGAACGAUCUCCAAUCUUCACCUGCAACUAGCAACGCUAUAAGUGGGGCUGAGCAAAGCGGUAACAUAGCCAAACAACGAUUUGCUAGGACAAGGUGGGUUAGAGGUUUGGCAUGGCAAUAUGGGAGGCAUGAUAAACAAGUAGUAGGUGUCGUAGCAUAGGCAUAGCAAAAGAGUGAGCAUCUAGCAAGCAAAGAUAGAAGUGAUUUUGAGAGUAUGGUCAUCUUGCCUGCAAACUUCUCAGAGUUGCCUUGAUCCUCGUAAGCGUACUCAAUGGGCUCCUCGAUCACGUACUCGUCUCCCGGCUCUACACAAACAACGGCUCUACACAAACAAGAACAACAAGCAAAAGGAACACAAUCAACCACAUGCAAUGCUUAAAUAACAUGAUGCAAACAUGAUAUGAUAUGCGGGAUGCGGUAUGUGAUGCAUAUGCAAGAUUUGGAAAGGAAUGAAUGAACCUGGCCUCUCAACUUGGAAAUCCAAGAGUGCCACUGGAAAGAGGAGUUGAUUUCGGUCGAAAUCGAUAUAAAGAUCACCGGAAUCGGAUGCACGGGUUGGAAAUGACAAGCAAAACAAAUAUGUCACCGGUCUGCGAUAAACAGCAAAUAGUCUUCUAAAUGCAUCAAGAACAACAUGCUACUGCACCCAAACAUAGCAACAAAAUACAUGGCAGGGAUCCACUCAUAAUUCUUGACAAAAGAUGAACACUGAGCUAUGGCUAAUUCACUCAAUAACAGGUUCAAACAAACAUGGAAAAAGUGCAAAAGAUUACUGGUUUCAGACUUAGAGAAAAUAACACAUCGGGAAUUUAUCAUCAGGAAGCAAUGUUUAGAGCAUGAAAAUUACAUGCUACAGGAACAUAUCAUGGCAAAGAAAGACAUGGCAUGAAGCUACUCAAAGCAUAUAAUAAAAAUCCCUUAGUGACCAUAAGCCAAAAGGGAUCAGAAAAUACAAUUGCAAGCAUGUGAAUAUAGUAAAAACAUAAACAGAUACAGACUUAGCAGAAAAACAGAGCGUGGCAAAAACAGAUCAUGAUAGCAACUUGGCAUGCUUGUUCCACUCAUCACAGUGCACAAAGGGACAUGGCAUAAAUACUAGCAUGUAAAAGGCAAGAAAAUGAAGCUAGCCAUGUACCAAACAACCUCAUAGCAUGCUUAAAAUAAAUCACACAAAAAUGACAAAAUAACAUCAUGAGGUAAAAUGACAUAUUCAUGAACUUGCUCAAAUGCAUAAACUAAUGCCACCACUGGAUUGGUGGGAUUUUUCUACCCAAAAAACAUAUAUAAUAUGUGGGGGUUACUGUAGAAAAAUCCCCACAAAUGCAAUAAGUCAAACACUGCCUAAAAAAGUAGCCGACAGAAAUGACAUUUUCCUUAUUUGGAAAUGUCCAGAAAUGGACUUGCCUGAACUGGAAUAAGGUAUCUUUCCCGAAAUGGAAAGCGCUGGAAUAAAGAAAAAAUAAUAAAAGAAAUAAGAGGAGGGGGUGAGGAUGACAUGUGGUGCCCUGUGGAGUGUUAGUAUGGCAGGUGGGGCCUUGCUGUCAUACUCACGCAUGUGCCAAACAACCUCAUAGCAUGCUUAAAAUAAAUCACACAAAAAUGACAAAACAGCAUCAUGAGGUAAAAUGACAUAUUCAUGAACUUGCUCAAAUGCAUAAACUAAUGCCACCACUGGAUUGGUGGGAUUUUUCUACCCCAAAAACAUAUAUAAUAUGUGGGGGUUACUGUAGAAAAAUCCCCACAAAUGCAAUAAGUCAAACACUGCCUAAAAAGGUAGCUGACAGAAAUGACAUUUUCCUUAUUUGGAAAUGUCCAGAAAUGGACUUGCCUGAACUGGAAUAAGGUAUCUUUCCCGAAAUGGAAAGCGCUGGAAUAAAGAAAAAAUAAUAAAAGAAAUAAGAGGAGGGGGUGAGGAUGACAUGUGGUGCCCUGUGGAGUGUUAGUAUGGCAGGUGGGGCUUUGCUGUCAACCUCAUAGCAUGCUUAAAAUAAAUCACACAAAAAUGACAAAACAGCAUCAUGAGGUAAAAUGACAUAUUCAUGAACUUGCUCAAAUGCAUAAACUAAUGCCACCACUAGAUUGGUGGGAUUUUUCUACCCCAAAAACAUAUAUAAUAUGUGGGGUUACUGUAGAAAAAUCCCCAUAAAUGCAAUAAGUCAAACACUGCCUAAAAAGGUAGCUGACAGAAAUGACAUUUUCCUUAUUUGGAAAUGUCCAGAAAUGGACUUGCCUGAACUGGAAUAAGGUAUCUUUCCCGAAAUGGAAAGCGCUGGAAUAAAGAAAAAAUAAUAAAAGAAAUAAGAGGAGGGGGUGAGGAUGACAUGUGGUGCCCUGUGGAGUGUUAGUAUGGCAGGUGGGGCUUUGCUGUCAUACUCACGCAUAAUGCAAAAAAGGGGGGUUUUAGUAUGGCAGGUGGGGCUUUGCUGUCAUACUCACGCAUAAUGCAAAAAAGGGGGGUUUUAAACCGCACCAGGGGAGGAUCGAACCCAGGUCUCCCUGGAGUUAGAGCGUGGCCUUUGCCACUGGGCUAGGCGCUCAUAUUUGGCAUGAAGAAGACCGGACACCUUAAGUACUAGCGAGAGGUCUGGCUAGUCUCCUCUACACAUACAGAAAAGAAAACGACGACGAUGCCGGCGAGCGAGGUGGCCGUAUCCGGCGAGGUGGUGUGCCGGCGGGGGUGCGGACACGGAGGGGGUGUAGCGCGUGCAUGCGGAGCUGCUGCGAGAGUGCACGCGUUGGGUUCAACUCGAGCACGAGCUCAUGGCGAGCUUGGCUUGGUACCGUCGGUGCAGAGGCCGAGCGAGCUUCCUCUGAAGCUGGCGAGGCGAGGCGAAGCGAGGCGAGCGGGGUGCGAGCGUGCACACGGGCAACCGUGGCGAGGAGAACGCAGCUAGGUGGGAACCGGAGCACGGGGACGCGCGGGCGCGCUGCAGCAAGUACACACAACAAAACUGCAGACUUCGCCGGAGCACCGUGAGCACAGCAAAGACACGGAUCGAUCGAGCCUCACGGGGUCCUAUAUGCCAUGGAAAGAAAAGGGAGAGGUUGGUGCGUUACCCAGCUCACCCUAGGACACGAUGGGGUCGACGGAGACGAGCCGGAGAUGACGCGAGGGAGCGCUGAACUUGGUGGGGCUGCUGUCCGCGAAGCAGAGGGAGAAGAUGUCGUCGUGGUAGUCGAUCCAGGGGCCGUAGCGGUGCGUGCGUGAAGAAGAGGGCGGAGAGGUACUUGACGGUCCUCUCGACGGCAACAGGCGGGUCGGAGGCGUGACGUGGACGGCUAACCCGAGCUCGAGCUCUUGCUCGCUCGGGUCAUGGUGGGCAGGGCGACGGCGAGGCGCGUGGCGCUAACCUAGGCGGCGGAGAGGGAAGAAGAGGAGGGGAUCGGUCGAGGGGAG
RNAcentral lists this long non-coding RNA (4896 nucleotides) under Triticum aestivum (bread wheat). RNAcentral describes it as "long non-coding RNA (TAES_LNC014218)". Lineage: Eukaryota; Viridiplantae; Streptophyta; Magnoliopsida; Poales; Poaceae. The record is from RNAcentral.